AUUGAACGCUGGCGGCAUGCCUUACACAUGCAAGUCGAACGGUAACAGGUCUUCGGAUGCUGACGAGUGGCGAACGGGUGAGUAAUAUAUCGGAACGUGCCCAGUCGUGGGGGAUAACGCAGCGAAAGCUGUGCUAAUACCGCAUACGAUCUAUGGAUGAAAGCGGGGGAUCGCAAGACCUCGCGCGAUUGGAGCGGCCGAUAUCAGAUUAGGUAGUUGGUGGGGUAAAGGCCCACCAAGCCAACGAUCUGUAGCUGGUCUGAGAGGACGACCAGCCACACUGGAACUGAGACACGGUCCAGACUCCUACGGGAGGCAGCAGUGGGGAAUUUUGGACAAUGGGCGCAAGCCUGAUCCAGCAAUGCCGCGUGCAGGAUGAAGGCCUUCGGGUUGUAAACUGCUUUGUACGGAACGAAAAGGCUCUGGUAAUACCUGGGGCUCAUGACGGUACCGUAAGAAUAAGCACCGGCUAACUACGUGCC
This 482-nucleotide ribosomal RNA is filed under the name uncultured bacterium. Its description in RNAcentral is "bacterial SSU rRNA". It matches the Rfam family "Bacterial small subunit ribosomal RNA", at positions 30 to 509 of the family's 1533-position model. The record is from RNAcentral.